ACACGUUACCGUCGCCUUAUCAUGAAAUACAUCCUAUAAUACAUCCUAUGCUAUACAUCUUAGGAUCCUACGAGAAGAUCCUAGGAUGUAUAGCAGUUGUCAUCAAUUCUAGAGGGCUAUCUUCAUUUAAUCAUUAUUGUUUCUAUAGUCGAUAAGAGCCGAUAUGCCGCAACGUCAGCGGCAACGGUACGACAAGCGAUAAACUUGUUACUUUGCACUUUUGGAAACUUUUGAGCCAACGCAUCGAACUAAAUUUGUUUGGAGAAACAAGUUGAAGCUGAGAUAAUCUCAAAAAUAAAGAGGUUAAUUGUAAAUACAACUGCUGAGAAAAGUCGGGUUAUCUGCAACACUUUCAAAUCGCUGGAGGAAUUCAUUUUCUUGUUCAGUCAUUGAAAAAGCUAUCUCGCAGUGCAUAUAUAUAAAGCGGGGCAGAGAUUCUAUUAAAAAAAGACAAAUCAGUUUCCAGUUUAUACAAACGCUUGUUCAUCUACAACCCUACUUACAACUGGAAACCUAUUAUUUGCCAAUUUCUACACUUAAGUUAUUUUCUAUUGUAAGCGCAUAUUUUCGUUAAGGGAAUAUACCAAUACCAUUCAAUGAAUUAAUUAAAAGGAGUGAAUCAGAAGAAGAAAAAUAUCCUACGUUUUCAGUCGAUUACUUAUCGUCUGACUAGGGUCCGAGCGCGCAUAAUUGUUUCCGGGCGCAAUAAAUUCAUAAGCUUUUUUCAGCUAAAGAAACGAAGUUUCAAUAGACGUACACACACCGACGUAACGUAUAGUAGCACUGAGUGCUUAUUUGUCAUAGAUCAGCAUGUCCGUCCGAUCCCACAUAUAUAUUUUCCUCUAAUUAAGUUCAGCGACCAGCCAGAGCGGGAACUUACGUUAAGCCCUCUCUAAAAUAGCAACGCCUGUUUCCUGUACAAAUCCGAGCAGCGCCAGCAGCGCCGCGGAUAACGAAUCUGAGAAAUGUCUUGGCGGCUACGAUUAAUGCGCAAUGGACCAGGCCAAACGAUUCGCCGAAUUGGUCGGGCAGUUACAAAAGCUGCCCAGGCCCUUACAAGCGAUCUAAUCCGAUCUACUACAGAGGACGAACAAGAGCUAGAAGGAAAUCAAGCCCGAACUGGCGAAGAAGGCUGCGCUGACGUGGAAGAACAGCGUGAUCAGAGUGGUGAUGGCGACCGAGCUGAAACUGAUCAGGAAGAUGACUCUGAGGAAGGAAGCGAGAAUUCUGAUACCUCAACGGUUGGCACUUCGGCCAAGAUACGCUUAAGAAGACAGCACAAAAAGCGGUUCUAUCAGGGCCGUGACGACGUAUACGCUCAUCAGUAAGUUCGGCCUGAAUCGCUACUGUUUCUUGAAACUCCCUCCCAUCGAGAUAAUUUCCACAAUCUAAGGACAAUAUUAUAACUACGGCCUAUCUCUUGGUGGGUCUAGUUCAGACUAAUAUAUGUAAGGCAAUUUCGGAGAACGCUUAUGCGUUACAGGCAUUUGUAAUAUCCAUGAUGCCACUGAAACGACGUGUUCGUCUGCGAAACAUAGCAAUAUGUGGUUUUAAAUCAAACUGGGUCUAGACCUAUUUGCGUUCUGGUGAAAGCCACCCGUCUGAAGCAAAAUUUCUUUAUACUAUCAUAUGUUUACAGAAUUCUGGCGGAAGCCGGCAUCUAUCAACAGCCGAGAGAGACCACGGAAGGCGAGUGUAACAAGUAUCAAACGACCACAUUCACUAUGGUCGAGACGACACUAUCGGUCCUACGGGCGAUGCGCGCUCUCGAUGCCAAAAAUCGGGGACAGCUUAUGACACGUGUCGCCACUCUGAUUUCUAGUGAGGCACAACCAUUAUCGCCGGGCGUUUUGUACAGAUAGACAACAGAAAGACUAGGCCCUAAGUCCUAUUUGUACCGUUCUGAAAACCUUCCUGUGCGCGAUAAAGCUAUUCCACAAACAAAAACACACGUAUCUUACAGGACCACGCGUUUCUCUAUGCGUGGUGAACGAACCUUGUCAAAAAUCAGGGAAAAUCCGAACAAACAGGAGGAAGUCUCGUCUGGUGGGGGGUUACUAUUGGAAAUACACAAGGAAAAGAGAUAAAAAUCUUAUGUGAUAUAUUAUGACGAUGGCGGAUUGUUUGUUGUUGUAUGUACAAUAAUACAAUAAAAGCUAACCAC
Non-coding RNA from Varroa destructor (honeybee mite), 2164 nucleotides. The record is from RefSeq and is a predicted model, not a curated record. NCBI's taxonomy places the organism in Eukaryota, Metazoa, Arthropoda, Arachnida, Mesostigmata, Varroidae.